GCUGGAAGUGCAGGGCUUGGCGUUCUUAACAUGGCUGUUCAGGCUGUUUCGAGAAUGGCAGGGAACAGUGAUUCUACUGCAAGAAAUCAAUUUUUUCUAAUAGAUAAAGAUGGCCUUAUCACAAAAGAGAGAACAAAUAUUGAUCCAGCAGCCGCACCAUUUGCUAAAGACCCAAGAGAGCUCGAGGGACUUAAUGAAGGAGCCAAUCUAUUAGAAGUGGUGAAAAAGGUCAGGCCCCAUGUUCUUCUUGGUCUUUCAGGAGUUGGCGGUAUCUUCAAUGAGGAGGUGCUCAAGGCAAUGCGAGAAUCUGAUUCAAGUAAACCUGCGAUAUUUGCUAUGUCAAAUCCCACCAUGAAUGCUG
RNAcentral lists this unclassified non-coding RNA (361 nucleotides) under Hevea brasiliensis (rubber tree). Lineage: Eukaryota; Viridiplantae; Streptophyta; Magnoliopsida; Malpighiales; Euphorbiaceae. The record is from RNAcentral.